Hevea brasiliensis (rubber tree) is the source of this 1715-nucleotide long non-coding RNA. RefSeq lists it as uncharacterized. The record is from RefSeq and is a predicted model, not a curated record. The transcript has 3 exons. NCBI's taxonomy places the organism in Eukaryota, Viridiplantae, Streptophyta, Magnoliopsida, Malpighiales, Euphorbiaceae.
AAUGAUCCAUUAAUUUCCCCUGCCUUAGGGUAGGGAAAGACGCCGCUCGUCCAACCUAGAGUGCGAGUCGCUCUCCCCCAUCUAGGCUUGGGAGUAAAUAAAGUUUUAGUUGGUUUUGAUUUCUGCAGUACUUUUGUAGCAAAGAGAGAGUUUUUAAUUGAUUUGUGCAAUGGCUUUGGUUUGUUGGAGCUGCACCAUUUGUUGAUGUUGGUGGCCUUCAUCCUCUUGAAGGGUUAUUUGCAUGUGUGGUGGUGAGCAUCUCAGGUUGUUGAGUUAGGCUUAUUUGGUAGUUGCUAUAAGAGACUGAGAGGCCAUUAGCUAUACCCUUACCUCCUUCGGUGGCUAUCGAUUAUGAUAGUGUUUGAUGUGUCCUAAAUUCCAACGACCAGUUGGGUUAAUGUUUAUAGGUGGUGGUUUUUUGGUUUGCAAGCAAGUUUCUUAUUUGAUUAGAAAACUUUCCUUCUUCGGCCUUCUAGUGUUCUGCUUCAACUCCAGCUGCGAUAAGACUCGGCAAUGCUUUUAGGGCUCUUGGUGGUUUCGACUUCGUUCUUCUUGGGGUUUGAUUUAUGAGUUUCAAUUUCUCGUAUGUGUUGGGCUCAAACUUCAUUGCCUUUCUGUUGGUAUUGUCGGACUUGAUGUACUUCUAUCCUUUAGCCCUUGUUAAUGCAAUGAUGCAAUUAAAAAAAAAAAGGUUUGCAUAAUUAUCUUAAAGCCCAGAAAUCUUUUGUAUGAAAACUGGUCAAUUUCAAGAAACCCAACCCAAUAUCAAAGCGGUGUCGCUUUCUGCUGUUGGUUGGCGGGCUAUCGAUCAUUGGUCAUCACCUUCUGUCCCCAAAUCUACACUUCUGAAAUGAUCAAUCGCAACUAAAAUCGAUACGCCAGCUCGAAUAUUUGAUUUUAGGAUUCAUUCCGAUCAACAGGCAAUAUCCCCCGAAGGCUUUGAGAUUUUAUUCAUUUUCUAUCAAAUCUUCGAUUCAAAUUGUCUACAAGGACUUUAAGAGAGGCGUUGUAUCUGUUCGAGAAAUAAUCCAUUAUGAAGUUAUUAGAAUACAGUACCCUUGAAAGGUAAUUUUUUAAUUGCUACUUUGGCAAUCGAAUUGCCCUUGAGAGGAAUUAGCCUUUUUUUUUUUUUUUUAAAUAAUUAGGUGAAUGUUCCAUCAGGGAGAUUUGUGAACCUCAGCCUGUGACUAGUCUUAGAUGGGAUUACAUUUGAAUUUGAUUUUGAUAUAUUGUGUUGUAUUCUGUUUAUUAUCCCCAGCAUAAAUGAGUUCUUAAGCAAUUUAAAUCUUGGAGAACGUACAAUCAAGGGAUGCCUUGAAGCUUACUCAUGCAAUUACCAAUUUGCAACUUAAUUAUCAAGUUUUGGAAAUUUUAUUUUGGAUGAAAAAUGUGAUUUUUCCUCCCUCGUGUUCUGUUAAGGUAAACAUUCUGGAACAGACAAAAAACUUUCUAUCAGUUUGGAGCACGAGGAAACAUAAUGAAACCAAACAUGUCCUAAAAGCAUUGGUAUUUUGGAUAAACUUUAUCCAUCUGUGUUUGUAUGGUGAGCGCUAGUGGAUGUGUCCACGUGUCUUGCAUUUUUGUCUUGUGCGACUGCAGGAGUUGAGCUAUGUAUGCAACAAUGAUCUUGCUUAGGAUUCAUUUGUUUUGCAAGAGUUAUAUUCCAUGCUGUAGACGGUGAACUGCAAGAUUUCUCAUAUCUAGGUUCUUUAAUU